UGAGGAAUAUUGGUCAAUGGGUGCAAGCCUGAACCAGCCAUCCCGCGUGAAGGACGACUGCCCUAUGGGUUGUAAACUUCUUUUGUAUAGGGAUAAACCUACCCUCGUGAGGGUAGCUGAAGGUACUAUACGAAUAAGCACCGGCUAACUCCGUGCCAGCAGCCGCGGUAAUACGGAGGGUGCAAACGUUAUCCGGAUUUAUUGGGUUUAAAGGGUCCGUAGGCGGGAUUAUAAGUCAGUGGUGAAAGCCUGUCGCUUAACGAUAGGACCGCCAUUUAUAAUGUUAGGCUUGAGUAUAAUUGAGGGUGCUGGAAUAAGUAGUGUAGCGGUGGAAUGCAUAGAUAUUACUUUGAACACCAAUUUCGAAGGCAGGUUACCAAGAUAUAACUGAAGCUGAGGGACCAAAGCGUGGGGAGCGAACA
This 422-nucleotide ribosomal RNA is filed under the name uncultured bacterium. RNAcentral's name for it is "bacterial SSU rRNA". It matches the Rfam family "Bacterial small subunit ribosomal RNA", at positions 355 to 774 of the family's 1533-position model. The record is from RNAcentral.